CCGGGUCGAAAUUGUGUGCAGCAGUGAGCACAAUGAGCACCUGGCGUGUUGCGUGAAGAUUGGCUGGGAAAUACUGUUGUAAGAGUCGCGCCACGUGGCAUACUAUGGUAGGCUUUGUCUGGAGGUUCACGCCGUUUAGGGUGCACACGAGUGCACUAGAUCAAUACUGAAGAGGGACGUUGAUAUGGUACUAGAGCGACCACAGGAAGGCUGUGCGCCAACACAGAUGCCAGACGCGGAUUGGCUGAGGGAGAGGGUUCAUGGCGCCUGUUGUGUUCUCGGAUGAACAAGACAGACUGGGAAAAGACGUAGUGCGCACAUGUCCACGCAAAAAUUCAUGCACCCUCCAGCGUGUCGUUGUCUGAUUGGGCAGGCGCUAAGGCAAGCUGUCUAGACAACCACGUGGUGCACUAUGACUGGGCAUCAAUGGAAUUUCACGAUACAACUGUGGAACGUGUUGCACCGGAUUGUUUUC
RNAcentral lists this long non-coding RNA (475 nucleotides) under Lupinus angustifolius (narrow-leaved blue lupine). RNAcentral describes it as "long non-coding RNA (LANG_LNC002603)". Lineage: Eukaryota; Viridiplantae; Streptophyta; Magnoliopsida; Fabales; Fabaceae. The record is from RNAcentral.